RNAcentral lists this long non-coding RNA (472 nucleotides) under Elaeis guineensis (African oil palm). RNAcentral describes it as "long non-coding RNA (EGUI_LNC016009)". The record is from RNAcentral. Lineage: Eukaryota; Viridiplantae; Streptophyta; Magnoliopsida; Arecales; Arecaceae.
CAUCAAUGAUAUUAGUUUCCCACAGAAUAUUGAACUGAAUCAAUCAUAGAUAACCAAGAUUCUUAAAUAAUCAGAGCAUAGAAUACCAAACACCGUAAUUUCAAAUAAUCAAAAAGUAAGUUAUUCCUGGAUAAAGAUCUCAACUGAUAUAAAAUCACCUUCAUGAUCUCAUUUGAAUCGCUAAAUGCCACUAGACAAUUUUUUACAAUUUAGAUUUUAGAGGAUCCAUUGAGCAUGAGCAUGCAUGCGAGAGGAAGAGGAAUGGAUGUGAUUAAUCCAUUAUGUGAUUAUUUUUUAUGCAUGCGAGAGGAAGAAGAAUGGAUGUGAUUAAUUUGUUAAUGUGAUUCUUUUUUAAUUUUUUUUUACUAAUCUAAUUUUAUAAAUUGACUAGCAUGCUUUUUUUCUUUCUUUCUAAGCAAAAUAAAGGAAUAUAUUUUUUGUUAUAGGUAGAAAUUUUUUUUCUUGAAUAAAG